Molecule: transfer RNA, 72 nt
Filed under: Toxocara canis (dog roundworm)
Lineage: Eukaryota; Metazoa; Nematoda; Chromadorea; Rhabditida; Toxocaridae
Rfam family: tRNA
About the family: Transfer RNA (tRNA) molecules are approximately 80 nucleotides in length. Their secondary structure includes four short double-helical elements and three loops (D, anti-codon, and T loops).
Source: Rfam by way of RNAcentral
GGUCCCAUGGUGUAGGGUUUAGCACUCAGGAUUUUGAAUCUUGCAGCGGGAGUUAAAAUCUCUCUGGGACCU